Onchocerca volvulus is the source of this 74-nucleotide non-coding RNA. The record is from Rfam. NCBI's taxonomy places the organism in Eukaryota, Metazoa, Nematoda, Chromadorea, Rhabditida, Onchocercidae.
UCACGAAAGUGGAGGGUAAGAUCUACACUAAAUGUUUCAAAUAAGUGAGAUUCUUAUUCCUCCACUUUCCUGUC